GACGAACGCUGGCGGCGUGCUUAACACAUGCAAGUCGAACGGAAAGGCCCUGCUUUUGUGGGGUGCUCGAGUGGCGAACGGGUGAGUAACACGUGAGUAACCUGCCCUUGACUUUGGGAUAACUUCAGGAAACUGGGGCUAAUACCGGAUAGGAGCUCCUGCUGCAUGGUGGGGGUUGGAAAGUUUCGGCGGUUGGGGAUGGACUCGCGGCUUAUCAGCUUGUUGGUGGGGUAGUGGCUUACCAAGGCUUUGACGGGUAGCCGGCCUGAGAGGGUGACCGGCCACAUUGGGCCUGAGAUACGGCCCAGACUCCUACGGGAGGCAGCAGUGGGGAAUAUUGCACAAUGGGCAGAAGCCUGAUGCAGCAACGCCGCGUGCGGGAUGACGGCCUUCGGGUUGUAAACCGCUUUCGCCUGUGACGAAGCGUGAGUGACGGUAAUGGGUAAAGAAGCACCGGCUAACUACGUG
RNAcentral lists this ribosomal RNA (468 nucleotides) under uncultured bacterium. RNAcentral describes it as "partial 16S ribosomal RNA". It matches the Rfam family "Bacterial small subunit ribosomal RNA", at positions 28 to 507 of the family's 1533-position model. The record is from RNAcentral.